Sorghum bicolor (sorghum) is the source of this 425-nucleotide long non-coding RNA. RefSeq lists it as uncharacterized. NCBI's taxonomy places the organism in Eukaryota, Viridiplantae, Streptophyta, Magnoliopsida, Poales, Poaceae. The record is from RefSeq and is a predicted model, not a curated record. The transcript is spliced from 2 exons.
CCCCCGCCUCCCCUACACCCUGCGCCCUGCGCCGCCGCCUCCCCUGCACCCUGCACGCUGCGCCCGCACCCGUGGACGACGGUGGAGGCGUAGCAGCACCCGCGGACAACGGCGCUGGCGCUCGCGGCGCACGACGCCUCCGGCCGCGUCUCCCCCAUCCGCAUCUCGCGAAGGAGGAGGACCUGUGGGGGGUACUCGGUGACGAGCAAAGUACCUUUGCCUCCAUCUUCUCGACUAGGACGCAUGUUAGACCCUUUUGCCCUCAUGUUGGACUUGUAGGACUUGUUGGACAUGUAUGUUGGACAUGUAUGCACUUGUUACGCGACGUUAUGUGUAUUUCAGACAUGUAUCGAUGGAUUUGAUGAUGUUCAUGUGUGGAUUCAUGUUGAGAUCGAAUCUGAUGAUGAAAUGCGGUUUAUAUGCUA